RNAcentral lists this transfer RNA (71 nucleotides) under Dermasterias imbricata. RNAcentral describes it as "tRNA-Gln". It matches the Rfam family "tRNA". Rfam says of the family: Transfer RNA (tRNA) molecules are approximately 80 nucleotides in length. Their secondary structure includes four short double-helical elements and three loops (D, anti-codon, and T loops). Further hydrogen bonds mediate the characteristic L-shaped molecular structure. tRNAs have two regions of fundamental functional importance: the anti-codon, which is responsible for specific mRNA codon recognition, and the 3' end, to which the tRNAs corresponding amino acid is attached (by aminoacyl-tRNA synthetases). tRNAs cope with the degeneracy of the genetic code in two manners: having more than one tRNA (with a specific anti-codon) for a particular amino acid; and 'wobble' base-pairing, i.e. permitting non-standard base-pairing at the 3rd anti-codon position. Lineage: Eukaryota; Metazoa; Echinodermata; Asteroidea; Valvatida; Poraniidae. The record is from RNAcentral.
UAGAGAGUAGUAUAAAGGUAAAACAAAGAAUUUUGAUUUCUUAGACAUAAGUUCAACUCUUAUCUCUCUAA